Long non-coding RNA from Octopus sinensis (East Asian common octopus), 572 nucleotides. RefSeq lists it as uncharacterized. The record is from RefSeq and is a predicted model, not a curated record. NCBI's taxonomy places the organism in Eukaryota, Metazoa, Mollusca, Cephalopoda, Octopoda, Octopodidae. The transcript is spliced from 3 exons.
CAUUGGUAGAAGUGCAGGUAAAGGAGUUGAUGAUGUGAUAGGGUCGAUGAUGGGUGCUGGUGAGGAGGGUGGUGUUGGAGAGGUAAGGGCAAGUGUGGCAGUAUGGAUGGGAGCAAGGGAACAAGCCAGGUUGGGAAGUUGGGUUAGGGAAGAAGCUGUGGACCAAGAGGUCUCAUAGGUUGUGGGCUCAUUCGAAGGAUGGGAGGGGUCAGUUAGGGAAGAUGUGCGAAGUGGAGGGGUCAGACUGGAGUUGCCAGAAGGCUUGGAGAAUGGUGCAUUGGAGAGGUAGGGUGGUGGAGUGGUAGGUGAGGGAAAAUGGGAGGCAGGAGAUGGCGGGGCAGGUUCAGGGGGAGAGAACAGAUGCACAGUCCACGGAACGUGCUCUGGCAAGGGUGGUGUGGAUAGUGGUGAGGAGAUAUCCACAUAGGAUGAAGUGGCGAGCCAUGAGUUGAGACUGAGUCUCAAAGUCAUGGUCGUCACUACAGAGUCUGCGUAGAUGGAGGAAUUCGGAAUAGGGGAUGGAAAGCUUGGUGUGUUUAGGGUGGGAGGAGGAGAAGUUGAGGUAUGACUGC